Hordeum vulgare subsp. vulgare (domesticated barley) is the source of this 721-nucleotide long non-coding RNA. RefSeq lists it as uncharacterized. NCBI's taxonomy places the organism in Eukaryota, Viridiplantae, Streptophyta, Magnoliopsida, Poales, Poaceae. The transcript has 2 exons. The record is from RefSeq and is a predicted model, not a curated record.
UUCAUUGAUGGAUUGGGAGUAUAUAUACCCCUGGUACAAGGCAGUUACAAAAGAGGCAGUUGCUACUAGUAGCAACCGACAUAGCGGGAUUAACCCUUUAAUUAAUCUAAUUAAUUUAUUUCUAACAAGCACGAUAGCCCCGACGUCCUCAUCACAUUCCCCCUCCCCUGUCAUCUCUCUCGCUCUAUUUCUCUCUCUCCCGCCAAGACCCGAGCGCCACCGCAAGCGCCGCUCGCCGUAUUCACGGCUACCGGCCCCUGCUCGCUCCCCUGUGCAUGCCAGAAGAACCACAGCGACUCCCUCAUCCUUCCAGCAAAGGGAAUCGAAGACAGGAGCCCUGUAGCGCCAUCACCGCCACAAUUUCCAUCUCCGGCCGCCAGAGACAUCCGUUGUUGAUGCGCAAGGAUUUGAGCUCCCCCGAGAUCCCCGUCACCUCCAGCCGCCUCGUGGGAUAGACGUUGUUCUCUCUACGUUUACCUCUUGACGUUAACAUGGAUGGAUUAGCUUGGGAACCCACAUAGUGAUGUGGCUCCUAUGGUAGGGUCAUUGUAGCUUUUCACGCUCUUCCAGCUGCUUUUAGUAGAUGUCUGUACCCAGACCUGUAACUUCCGCUUGAUGUUUGUAUGCUCUGAAUGUUGGUUCAUGUGACCCACUCUGUUCGUAACAUUAUACUAUGUUGGCUCUUUGGAGCCUUAUAAAUAAAUGAUGUGUUGUAGAGUUA